AUUGAACGCUGGCGGCAGGCCUAACACAUGCAAGUCGAGCGGAUGAAGGGAGCUUGCUCCUGGAUUCAGCGGCGGAGGGGUGAGUAAUGCCUAGGAAUCUGCCUGGUAGCGGGGGAUAACGUCCGGAAACGGGCGCUAAUACCGCAUACGUCCUGAGGGAGAAAGUGGGGGAUCUUCGGACCUCACGCUAUCAGAUGAGCCUAGGUCGGAUUAGCUAGUUGGUGGGGUAAAGGCCUACCAAGGCGACGAUCCGUAACUGGUCUGAGAGGAUGAUCAGUCACACUGGAACUGAGACACGGUCCAGACUCCGACGGGAGGCCGCAGUGGGGAAUAUUGGACAAUGGGCGAAAGCCUGAUCCAGCCAUGCCGCGUGUGUGAAGAAGGUCUUCGGAUUGUAAAGCACUUUAAGUUGGGAGGAAGGGCAGUAAGUUAAUACCUUGCUGUUUUGACGUUACCAACAGAAUAAGCACCGGCUAACUUCGUG
This 484-nucleotide ribosomal RNA is filed under the name uncultured bacterium. RNAcentral describes it as "partial 16S ribosomal RNA". It matches the Rfam family "Bacterial small subunit ribosomal RNA", at positions 30 to 507 of the family's 1533-position model. The record is from RNAcentral.